RNAcentral lists this ribosomal RNA (433 nucleotides) under uncultured bacterium. Its description in RNAcentral is "partial 16S ribosomal RNA". It matches the Rfam family "Bacterial small subunit ribosomal RNA", at positions 29 to 507 of the family's 1533-position model. The record is from RNAcentral.
AACGAACGCUGGCGGCAUGCCUAACACAUGCAAGUCGAACGAGACCUUCGGGUCUAGUGGCGCACGGGUGCGUAACACGUGGGAAUCUGCCCUUUGCUUCGGAAUAACAGUUAGAAAUGACUGCUAAUACCGGAUGAUGUCGAAAGACCAAAGAUUUAUCGGCAAAGGAUGAGCCCGCGUAGGAUUAGGUAGUUGGUGGGGUAAAGGCCUACCAGGCCGACGAUCCUUAGCUGGUCUGAGAGGAUGAUCAGCCACACUGGGACUGAGACACGGCCCAGACUCCUACGGGAGGCAGCAGUGGGGAAUAUUGGACAAUGGGCGAAAGCCUGAUCCAGCAAUGCCGCGUGAGUGAUGAAGGCCUUAGGGUUGUAAAGCUCUUUUACCAGGGAUGAUAAUGACAGUACCUGGAGAAUAAGCUCCGGCUAACUCCGUG